GCAUAUCAAUAAGCGGAGGAAAAGAAAAUAACAAUGAUUCCCUUAGUAACGGCGAGUGAAGGGGGAUAAGCUCAAAUUUUAAAUCUGCUAGGUUUUACUUAUCAGAGUUGUAAUUUGAAGAAGCGUUUUCCGCGUCUCGGUUGACCCAAAUCCUUUGGGAUAAGGUAUCAUGGAGGGUGAGAAUCCCGUUCGGUUGACCUUAUGACGCUUUACGAUACGUUUUCUAAGAGUCGAGUUGUUUGGGAUUGCAGCUCAAAAUGGGAGGUAAAUUUCUCCUAAGGCUAAAUAUUGGCGAGAGACCGAUAGCGAAUAAGUACCGUGAGGGAAAGAUGAAAAGAACUUUGAAAAGAGAGUUAAACAGUACGUGAAAUUGUUGAAAGGGAAACGAUUGAAGCCAGUCGUACCUUCGGGUAAUCAGCCUUUCGGGUGCGAUUCUGUGGAGCGUGAGGAGUUAAACGCCUUCAUGCCUGCAUAUUCGUGCACUUUGGGUGUACUUGCCCGUGUGGUAGGUUAACAUCAAUUUCGGAUAUCAUAAAAUGGCUGGAGGAAUGUAGCCUCGGUCUCGUACUGAAGUGUUAUAGCCUCUGGUAGAUGUGAUGACCGGGAUUGAGGAUUGCAACGAAUACCUUUUGGGCUACCCGCCUGAUCUCUGAAAGUUGCUCUGGUGCCGAAAGCUUGCUUACGGUCAUCAAAGUUGACGUUCAAAAGGUUAGAACGGGUUAAAUUCGUUAAGGAUGUUGACGUA
RNAcentral lists this ribosomal RNA (745 nucleotides) under uncultured Glomerales. RNAcentral's name for it is "LSU rRNA". It matches the Rfam family "Eukaryotic large subunit ribosomal RNA", at positions 38 to 633 of the family's 3401-position model. The record is from RNAcentral. Lineage: Eukaryota; Fungi; Glomeromycota; Glomeromycetes; Glomerales; Glomeraceae.